CAAUUUUAUCCAAGCAAUCCCCUCUCCCCAAUUUGUGUUCAACCCCUACCCUUAGUUCCUUCUUCCGCAACAUUUCAACGUUGCGUCGAUAAUGACUCUUGCAACUCCAAAGCACAACCCCCUUAGACUCCACCUCUAGACCACACAUAAAGUUACCAUCACCCGUAGUGCACAAAUGACAUUCAACCAAACCACUGACCCAUGCCAUUGCAGAUCUCUCCCCCACCUGCAUAACUCAUGUUGAGAACUUCUCCUUACACUAUUAGCCUCUCUAUUACACUGAAAAUGGUGCUUCGAGAAAAAGAAGGUGAAAGUGAAAGUUUCUUUAGUGAAUAUAUGAAAGGCCAGGGGGACUGUUUGGGGGAAGAAUUUGUUGAAUCGGACUGUGGUGAUCAAGACACUUAGGCCCUACAUUGAAUUUGGAUUCUUCCAUGGAUGGAGGUAGAGUAUAUGAUGAGGAUUAUCAGCUUCUUCUUUUGUUUCCUUCUUUUUCAUUCUUCCAAAUCUAAUUUCAUUACCAUCUACUUCCAAAACAUGCGAUUUUAAACUCCUAAUGCUGAUAUUUAUUAGAUUUUAUUUUGUUCUUUGUUGGGUUUGUAUAUUUGAGUGGGGAGAUGACUUUUUGGCAGGCUAUUGUAUUUGUUGGAUUUUAUAUAUGUUGCUUGUUGGAUUUAUAUUUUGAAUGGAUUAGGGAAUAUAUGUGC
This 704-nucleotide unclassified non-coding RNA is filed under the name Hevea brasiliensis (rubber tree). The record is from RNAcentral. Lineage: Eukaryota; Viridiplantae; Streptophyta; Magnoliopsida; Malpighiales; Euphorbiaceae.